This 443-nucleotide ribosomal RNA is filed under the name uncultured bacterium. RNAcentral's name for it is "partial 16S ribosomal RNA". It matches the Rfam family "Bacterial small subunit ribosomal RNA", at positions 338 to 795 of the family's 1533-position model. The record is from RNAcentral.
CCUACGGGAGGCAGCAGUGGGGAAUAUUGGGCAAUGGAGGAAACUCUGACGCAGCAACGCCGCGUGUAUGAUGAAGGUCUUCGGAUUGUAAAGUUCUUUUCUAAGGGAGGAAGAAAGUGACGGUACCUUAGGAAUAAGCCUCGGCUAACUACGUGCCAGCAGCCGCGGUAAUACGUAGGAGGCGAGCGUUAUCCGGAAUGACUGGGCGCAAAGGGUGCGUAGGCGGUUUGGCAAGUUAGUAGCGUAACUCCCAGGCUCAACCUUGGAACUACUACUAAAACUGGUGGACUAGAGUGCAGGAGGGGCAACUAGAAUUCCUAGUGUAGCGGUGGAAUGCGUAGAUAUUAGGAGGAACACCAGUGGCGAAGGCGGGUUGCUGGACUGUAACUGACGCUGAGGCACGAAAGCGUGGGGAGCAAACAGGAUUAGAUACCCUUGUAGUC